UGGGCCAAUGAUGAGAAUGUGUCAUGAACCAGGGAAUAAGAUUAAUCCAAUUCUGUGUACUGAAGGGUCAAA
RNAcentral lists this small nucleolar RNA (72 nucleotides) under Otolemur garnettii (small-eared galago). Its description in RNAcentral is "Small nucleolar RNA SNORD112 (ENSOGAG00000022653.1)". The record is from RNAcentral. Lineage: Eukaryota; Metazoa; Chordata; Mammalia; Primates; Galagidae.